Molecule: unclassified non-coding RNA, 147 nt
Filed under: soil metagenome
Description: partial internal transcribed spacer 1
Source: RNAcentral
CCGAGUUUACAACUCCCAAACCCUGUGAACAUACCUAUACGUUGCCUCGGCGGAUCAGCCCGCGCCCCGUAAAAAGGGACGGCCCGCCCGAGGACCCCUAAACUCUGUUUUUAGUGGAACUUCUGAGUAAAACAAACAAAUAAAUCA